RNAcentral lists this ribosomal RNA (253 nucleotides) under uncultured bacterium. Its description in RNAcentral is "partial 16S ribosomal RNA". It matches the Rfam family "Bacterial small subunit ribosomal RNA", at positions 524 to 776 of the family's 1533-position model. The record is from RNAcentral.
GACGUAGGGCGCGAGCGUUGUCCGGAUUUAUUGGGCGUAAAGAGCUCGUAGGCGGCUCGUUGCGUCAACCGUGAAAACUCGGGGCUUAACCCCGAGCCUGCAGUGGAUACGGGCAGACUAGAGGUAGGUAGGGGAGAAUGGAAUUCCCGGUGUAGCGGUGAAAUGCGCAGAUAUCGGGAGGAACACCGGUGGCGAAGGCGGUUCUCUGGGCCUUACCUGACGCUGAGGAGCGAAAGCGUGGGGAGCGAACAGG